AGAGUUUGAUCAUGGCUCAGAUUGAACGCUGGCGGCAUGCUUUACACAUGCAAGUCGAACGGCAGCGCGGGGCAACCUGGCGGCGAGUGGCGAACGGGUGAGUAAUAUAUCGGAACGUACCCAAGAGUGGGGGAUAACGUAGCGAAAGUUACGCUAAUACCGCAUACGAUCUAAGGAUGAAAGCAGGGGAUCUUCGGACCUUGUGCUCCUGGAGCGGCCGAUAUCUGAUUAGCUAGUUGGUGAGGUAAAGGCUCACCAAGGCCACGAUCAGUAGCUGGUCUGAGAGGACGACCAGCCACACUGGAACUGAGACACGGUCCAGACUCCUACGGGAGGCAGCAGUGGGGAAUUUUGGACAAUGGGCGAAAGCCUGAUCCAGCAAUGCCGCGUGAGUGAAGAAGGCCUUCGGGUUGUAAAGCUCUUUUGUCAGGGAAGAAACGGUGAGGGCUAAUAUCCCUCGCUAAUGACGGUACCUGAAGAAUAAGCACCGGCUAACUACGUGCCAGCAGCCGCGGUAAUACGUAGGGUGCAAGCGUUAAUCGGAAUUACUGGGCGUAAAGCGUGCGCAGGCGGUUUUGUAAGUCUGACGUGAAAUCCCCGGGCUCAACCUGGGAAUUGCGUUGGAGACUGCAAGGCUAGAAUCUGGCAGAGGGGGGUAGAAUUCCACGUGUAGCAGUGAAAUGCGUAGAGAUGUGGAGGAACACCGAUGGCGAAGGCAGCCCCCUGGGUCAAGAUUGACGCUCAUGCACGAAAGCGUGGGGAGCAAACAGGAUUAGAUACCCCGGUAGUCC
Molecule: ribosomal RNA, 791 nt
Filed under: uncultured bacterium
Lineage: Bacteria
Description: bacterial SSU rRNA
Rfam family: Bacterial small subunit ribosomal RNA
Source: RNAcentral